GCCUCGCUAGCUCAAUGGUAGAGCAUCAGGCUUUUAACCUGAGGGUUGUGGGUUCGAGCCCCACGCGAGGCG
Linderina pennispora is the source of this 72-nucleotide transfer RNA. It matches the Rfam family "tRNA". From Rfam's summary of the family: Transfer RNA (tRNA) molecules are approximately 80 nucleotides in length. NCBI's taxonomy places the organism in Eukaryota, Fungi, Kickxellomycota, Kickxellomycetes, Kickxellales, Kickxellaceae. The record is from Rfam.